Molecule: ribosomal RNA, 492 nt
Filed under: uncultured bacterium
Lineage: Bacteria
Description: partial 16S ribosomal RNA
Rfam family: Bacterial small subunit ribosomal RNA
Source: RNAcentral
AGUGAACGCUGGCGGUAGGCCUAACACAUGCAAGUCGAACGGCAGCACAGUAAGAGCUUGCUCUUACGGGUGGCGAGUGGCGGACGGGUGAGGAAUACAUCGGAAUCUACUUUUUCGUGGGGGAUAACGUAGGGAGACUUACGCUAAUACCGCAUACGACCUACGGGUGAAAGCAGGGGAUCUUCGGACCUUGCGCGAUUGAAUGAGCCGAUGUCGGAUUAGCUAGUUGGCGGGGUAAAGGCCCACCAAGGCGACGAUCCGUAGCUGGUCUGAGGGGAUGAUCAGCCACACUGGAACUGAGACACGGUCCAGACUCCUACGGGAGGCAGCAGUGGGGAAUAUUGGACAAUGGGCGCAAGCCUGAUCCAGCCAUACCGCGUGGGUGAAGAAGGCCUUCGGGUUGUAAAGCCCUUUUGUUGGGAAAGAAAAGCAGCGGGUUAAUACCCCGCUGUUCUGACGGUACCCAAAGAAUAAGCACCGGCUAACUUCGUG